Canis lupus familiaris (dog) is the source of this 5647-nucleotide long non-coding RNA. RefSeq lists it as uncharacterized. The record is from RefSeq and is a predicted model, not a curated record. The transcript is spliced from 4 exons. NCBI's taxonomy places the organism in Eukaryota, Metazoa, Chordata, Mammalia, Carnivora, Canidae.
GAGGUGGGACAGGUGGUUGUGUGUGUGUCUGUUUCAGGGGGGUGGGGAAAGUGUCUAGAGGGCAAGUAAAUCAUUUGUGAUGGAGAAAGCAUCCUGCUCUGUCUAGUGAAUAAAACAAGUGACUGUUUGCUGCUCCUACAUUUCCUUCUGAUAAGCUGAAGAAGAGCGAUAGGGAGGAAAAAGAGAUAAAUAGGACUGGGGGACGAAUGAAGAAUUGAGAGUCUAUCCUGUGAGCUUAAUAUAACCUUCCUUAAGAAUUUUCUUCAACCUUGUAUCAAAAUUUAAAACUACACUUUUCCAAAUUUGAAUUUAAAAUAAUAUUUUCCCCCAGCAUUGCUAAAUGUUAAACACAUGUUUAUCACACCAGUAAAAUAAUUCUAAACGUUAACUAAAAUGCAACUUUAAUUAGCAGGUAGAUUACCAUCUGUACAGGACGAGGCAACCUGUGGCAAUCACUGUGGCCAGCAUUUAUCGAGUGUCUGCUCUGUGCCAAACUUUAGUGUGGAUUGACUCAUUUCCUCCCAAAAACAGAUACAUAAAAUAGGUUUUCACCAUCAUCCCUGUUUUAUUAUAGACUGGGAAAUUAACAUAGGUGUAUAGAAGUUAAAAAAAUUUCCAUGUGGGCCUAGGAUUUGAACCUGAGCAGUACAGUUGAUACUAGAGUCCACUGUGCCAGUGAUUGCCCCCAUCUACCCGGUAGCAUCACAUGAGGCUAGGAAGACCUGGGAGUGAAGGCACCACCGAGAAAGAAGCGCUGGUCCUGGGUAGGGUCUCCAGAUUCAGCAGGUCAAAUGCGGGAUGACCAGGUACAUUUGAAUUUCAACUGAACAGCAAUUAGUAUUUUACUAUGUCUCAUGCAGUAUUUGGGAGCAAACUAAAGAAAUACUAUUAAUCUGAAAUUCAAACUGAGGUGGGGGUCCUCUAUUUUAUCUUACAAUCCUUUCCUUGGGAGACAUGGGUGCUACUGAAGAGAGAAUCUGUUCCAUCAAUCUUGGCCAAUCUGGGAUCCCAAAGAAGAGGACCUGCACUGUGAAUUCCUCUUUACCACUUAACCACUCAGAAUCAAGCACCCACCCAACUCUAAUUGCUUCUCCAAACCAUUGACAUUUAAAAUGCUUUUGGGACUUGAAGUGAGUAUAGGUGAGUGAGCAUGAGGGAGGAGUAGGCAUGUGUAGAGAAACCUCCUCCUACAAAUGAACCACUGUGUUUGUGGUAGGAGUUCAGGAGCAGUCUCUACCCAUAUAGUAAGUACUGUCGGCCUGUGUCCUCUAGCUGCCUGUGGCUCAGAGACGUGUGUUCUUAGGCUCAGGAGUUAUUGCUGAAGCUUGGCUCUUCGUCCACCGAAGUCUUCACCUGUCUUUCUUUUGUACUUAGCUACUGUCCUCCUCCACUCAUUUAUGUUACCUAUCUGUACCCUCCUGCUAGCCAUUUGAGUCAAUGACUACUUUUAGACAGACUUGUCCCCAGAAGAUAACCAGAAUUCAGUGUUAAUUCUAAAACCGCACUGGGUUUGAUGUCAUAAUUUAAGCAAAUGCAUGCAGGUCUUAAGACAAUUUAUGCAAAUUCCUAAUGAUCCUCCUAGGUCAGAUACCCAGCUAUGGCCUUCGGUAAAAUCCUGGUGCAGCCCACAGGUAGAGAAUGUGUAUAAUUGAGCGCUGGAUUGAGUCGGGGUUCUCUGAGCCUUGAAAGAACAAAUGGUAUAAAUGUUAAUAAGGACUAACAUGAAGAAGAAGCCCUACAGGCUAUACUGGGACAUCUUUGGUUUCAAAGCAGUGAGGCACUUAAUCUCUGAUUUAUAAACAACCCAGAACCAGAUGUAGGAAUAUCCAUUUUCUGUGAAUAUGAUGUAUCCUGCUUAUGAGAAACUUUCUCCAAAGAAAUAAAGAGAAGAUCUGCCAACCGUUUAAAUGAAGAAAAAUGAGCCUUUCACUUUCAUCGUGCCUGCCUUGGUGUAAGCUAGAGUAUGAAUGGAGAAGACGUCAACCUUACUGAUGGUUCCACAUUCUGGACAGAAUCCUAUUGUGUAUUCUUGAUUGAGAUCUGCUCAGUGGUACCAAAAGGUGGCUUAGGGUUUUAAGAAAUGAUAUUAACAAAUCAUAUGCACAAUUUCACCAGGCAACUAAUUUUAUUUUUUUGUUUUAUGACGCCUCACUGUUGUAUCGACACCAUUUAUGAGUAUUAGUGGAUUAAAUAAAGUGAUCAUCAUGGAAAUGAUUGGGAAAUUGUAUAACGUGAAAAGGCAUUGAUGGAGAACCUUAAACUGCCCUUGUCUUUGCUCAGAACCCAACUUCUGAUCUAUAAAUGGACAAAUGAAAAGUAACAUUUGGACCAGGGAGAAAAAUGCAUCUCGGAUUACUUUUCCGUUUCUAGCCUUGAGAGAGAUCAGGGAUGAGGGACUAUAGGAGGUACUGGAAAAGGGAGUAUAAAUGCCAAAUCCUGUCAUGUAUUUAAAUCUGGCUGGUGACUAUUUAUUUUCAUGUUCCUUUCAUCCUCACCCAAACCAUUAGGUAAUCAAGUUUAGACUGUUCACAUAUGCAUAUUCAAUAUUUAUCUUCAGGCCAUUUAAACCAAGGUGCAUUUCUGUGAUUAAAAGUGGCACAAUAAGGAGAGUUAUGAAAAAUGACUAUAAAAGAAGAAAAUUGGAGAGAUAAGCUAAAUAAACGAAACCAAUUAGAAAACAGGCUUCGCAAAGAGAUGAAAAUACAUGUAAUUUUGUGCAAGAAGUAGAUAAUGUUAGUUAAAGGUUUAUAAAGUAGUCGGAGAAAUGAGUCAACCAUUUAAAUGUGAGGAAGAGAUGAACCAGAAAUCAGUGGAGUUGAUGGAGUAAGGGAAUACAUUAUUUGAGAUUCAAGCUUUUAAAGAGGGUUUCAAUCAUGUUUUGAGACAGGAUGUCAGAAGACCAACAUGAGUGAAUCACAGACAUCAAGAUGGGAGGUAAUGAAUAAACUUGAAGGAAAGAAACAGAAUGAUUCUGAAAGGAUGAAAUGCGAGUGGUAAUGAAUGACACACUGAGACUAAAAUAUGAAUAUUCAACAGUAAUGUAAGAUCAUCAGAUUAAAUAGUUAAGAAAUGAUAUGAAUAUAAUAGGAAAUAGAAAAGACAGAGCAGAUGGAAAAUAAGGCAUUUUCUAUUUCUCUUUUAGGAUUAAGAGUUCUGAUUGCAAAUGGAGGGGAAUAAAUGUCAAGAUAAAUAAAAUUAAUGUACUUUUGGCAAAUAAAGGAAGCUACUACCCAAAACAGAUGAAAUGAUGCUCCUACACACACACACACACACACACACACACACACACACACACAGUUCUUAUUUCUUCCAGGAAGCAGUCUCUGAAAAUUCUUACAUAUGUCCCAUUUAUUAUUGUAUUUGGACCCUUGAAAAGGCACAAUUUGUAGCUUUUUUUUUCUUUAAUUUGCAAUUACUUUUGUGAUCUGGAUCAAAAUAUUUUCUCAUUGUUACCAUGCAUGGGUUUCAUGGCUCCUCCAUUAUUUUUCAAGGGUAAGGAACAGGGCCUGAAUUUUGUUUGUCCUUUUCCCUAGCCCUGUAGCACUUGCUUGCAAUGCUUUUUGACUGUUUUAUUGAAUGUUAGACAAAAAAAGAAAUUAGGUAUGCUAAAAGAGUCAUGUUUUAGGAGAAAGAGACUAAAAUUGAAAGGAAAAAAUAGAUUCAGAAAUAAGUAAUCUGGAUUAAAAAAAUAGAAAAAUAUUAACUGAUGAGAGCUAAUUCAAGCAAAUGUCUGGCCAUAGGGAGGUCACUAUGACCAUGAUGAACAAAGAUGUUUCAAGUUGAAAAUGGACAGUUAACUCAAGCAUUAUUUCCCCUGACAAGGAAUAUCCACAUAGUUACACAAAUGGAUAUUUUUCUUUCUGUUGGGCAGACAAAACUGAUUACAUAACUUUUGUCAAAAGGGUCAUCUUCUUGCUCUGCCAAUAACAAUAGAGGGUUUUGUACCUCAUCAAGAUGAAUGUUUUAAGCCCCUGUGCCUGACCUUGAAUUUCUCCCAAGUAUUUUUCAAAGGCAUUGAAAAUUCUCAUCUAAAGAGUAAAGUGAAUCUAACAGUUGAAACUAUGGAGAAGACCAGGCUGCUAGACCUCACCAGCCAGGGGAGUAGUCUACUGAUGUUCCUUUUUACAUGAAAAAAGAUCUGGUCUUUAAUGGGAAUCCUAGGUAUAAAGGCCCAAAAUUGAUAGUGACUUGUUAAUUUAGAGGUGGAGGCAAAAAAGAGCUAAUACUGUAUGAAGAUAUAUUCAGGUAAUUUAUAAGGAGUCUGUCUGGAAACCUUAGACUCAGGUACUGUUUGAUUACCUCUCCAGGCUCAGCCUGCUAACAGACCUGUUGGCAGAAUGUAGAGAUCUCUAUUCCCUAUGUCGAAAGAACUCUUAAGUGAGGUCCCCCAUAUUGGGUCUCAAUAAAGCCAUCUUCCUGUUCUCAAGUGAUCCCCCGUGACUGUGCGAUGAAAGGAAUCCAUUUGUGGUUUUCCAGUGCAAAACAAAUGCGAAUUUUUUCUGUGAAACAGUAGUAGUCCGUAUUAUAGAGCCUUAAGCAUUCUUUAUGACACUGGCAAAAUUUAAGUAGAGUGUGGAUCUUUUCUUUCCUAAAGUGCUAAUGUGGCACUUCCUGUAAUCAGAGUAGGAACUGUAGAUAUCAUUAUACACUCUAAAACUCCAAAAUUUACUUUCAGCUGAGUUUCAACAUGAUUCAGGUCCUUGAUUCCAUCAAGUGGGGGCAGCAAUUGUUUCAAUGGAAUGCGACUGAGAAACGGUGAAUUUAUGAGCAUGGCUUCCAGAAGAGAGAAAGCACAUUUCAUGGUGCCUGCUCAAGGCUUUGGAUUGUGGGUAAUUGACAGAGAAAAAAGAAACCUCUGGGGCUCAGGCUUGGAGGAGUUAGAGAUGUGCAUCAUCCAUUGUGGUGCGCUUGUCAUGUUGACACCUGUAUGACAGUUCGAUCAAUGAGAGCUCAAUCAUGGCAUCAGCUGUUUUUACUUGCUGCUGUCUUCCCAAUUCUGCUCCCUGGGAGCAAAGACCAUCCUCUGUUUUCUGUCCGGGUGUCUCUCCAGUGGGUAGAACAACACCUGAUACAUCGUGGGAGCUCAAUAGAUAUUUGUUGGAUGAAUGAAUGAAUGAAUGAAUGAACGAAAACACUGCAUAGAAGAGGAGAAAGUAUGCAAGUUCAUCAUAGAGACCAAGACCCUGGGUGAUCUCUGGCACAACCGCUGAGCUCUCUAAACCCCGCGUGUAAAGUGAAGCCCAUCCCCCCUGAUUUCUGUCACUGCCGAGAAUUGUUCUGCGUGCGCUGCCUCGCCCCGAACUGCAGAAACGAGACCAGUAGUCGGUGCCGCUGUCGCGCGGGCGGCCCCUGCCGGGCGUGCAGCCGGCCCUGGCCCAGUCACAGCCAUCGUCCUCCCGAAGGCUCUCGGCAGGAACGGAGGGGUCGGAGGUGAUCGCGACUUGGAAGAGGCCGCAGCAGAGUCCCCAGAAGCGACUAGGUUACGCGUGGGCCUUGGACGAGCGGACGACGCCGGAGUCCGGCGUGAGGAAGGGCCUCCUGGGCAGCGGCGCGGUCCGGGCGGGCGGAGCACCUGCGGUUCUCGGCGGCUCGGGCGCAGGAACAGGGCGAGGCGGAACAGACAGACGGCCGCGUGAAGGGAAGACGC